This 464-nucleotide ribosomal RNA is filed under the name Vreelandella stevensii. RNAcentral describes it as "partial 16S ribosomal RNA". It matches the Rfam family "Bacterial small subunit ribosomal RNA", at positions 338 to 794 of the family's 1533-position model. The record is from RNAcentral. Lineage: Bacteria; Pseudomonadati; Pseudomonadota; Gammaproteobacteria; Oceanospirillales; Halomonadaceae.
CCUACGGGGUGCUGCAGUGGGGAAUAUUGGACAAUGGGCGAAAGCCUGAUCCAGCCAUGCCGCGUGUGUGAAGAAGGCCUUCGGGUUGUAAAGCACUUUCAGUGGGGAAGAAAGCCUUGGGGCUAAUACCCUCGAGGAAGGACAUCACCCACAGAAGAAGCACCGGCUAACUCCGUGCCAGCAGCCGCGGUAAUACGGAGGGUGCGAGCGUUAAUCGGAAUUACUGGGCGUAAAGCGCGCGUAGGCGGUCUGAUAAGCCGGUUGUGAAAGCCCCGGGCUCAACCUGGGAACGGCAUCCGGAACUGUCAGGCUAGAGUGCAGGAGAGGAAGGUAGAAUUCCCGGUGUAGCGGUGAAAUGCGUAGAGAUCGGGAGGAAUACCAGUGGCGAAGGCGGCCUUCUGGACUGACACUGACGCUGAGGUGCGAAAGCGUGGGUAGCAAACAGGAUUAGAUACCCGAGUAGU